CCAGAGGUCCCGCCGAAUCGGCCAGCGUGCUUAUCAGCGCGUGACGUCGAACCGGGGAACCAGGUUUGUCUGGGGUGAAUCCCCUGGUCGAGCGCGCGCAGCUGCAUGCUGCCCGCAAUCGGCAAGGGGUAGGGCUAACUUCCUGGCCCGAACCCGUCAGCUAACUCGGUAGGCGGCGAGGAGGAAGGUA
This 190-nucleotide small RNA is filed under the name Nakamurella multipartita. RNAcentral's name for it is "c-di-AMP sequence". It matches the Rfam family "c-di-AMP riboswitch aptamer (ydaO/yuaA leader)". Rfam says of the family: This family represents a conserved RNA structure found upstream of the ydaO and yuaA genes in Bacillus subtilis and related genes in other bacteria. The ydaO/yuaA element is thought to act as a genetic "off" switch for the ydaO and yuaA genes in its native state. The record is from RNAcentral. RNAcentral also lists the same sequence under 1 other name. Lineage: Bacteria; Bacillati; Actinomycetota; Actinomycetes; Nakamurellales; Nakamurellaceae.